GAUGAACGCUGGCGGCGUGCCUAAUACAUGCAAGUCGAGCGAACAGACGAGGAGCUUGCUCCUCUGACGUUAGCGGCGGACGGGUGAGUAACACGUGGAUAACCUACCUAUAAGACUGGGAUAACUUCGGGAAACCGGAGCUAAUACCGGAUAAUAUAUUUAACCGCAUGGUUCAAUAGUGAAAGACGGUUUUGCUGUCACUUAUAGAUGGAUCCGCGCCGCAUUAGCUAGUUGGUAAGGUAACGGCUUACCAAGGCAACGAUGCGUAGCCGACCUGAGAGGGUGAUAGGCCACACUGGAACUGAAACACGGUCCAGACUCCUACGGGAGGCAGCAGAAGGGAAUCUUCCGCAAGGGGCGAAAGCCUGACGGAGCAACGCCGCGUGAGUGAUGAAGGUCUUCGGAUCGUAAAACUCUGUUAUUAGGGAAGAACAAAUGUGUAAGUAACUAUGCACGUCUUGACGGUACCUAAUCAGAAAGCCACGGCUAACUACGUG
RNAcentral lists this ribosomal RNA (497 nucleotides) under uncultured bacterium. RNAcentral's name for it is "partial 16S ribosomal RNA". It matches the Rfam family "Bacterial small subunit ribosomal RNA", at positions 28 to 507 of the family's 1533-position model. The record is from RNAcentral.